GGGCGAUUAGUUUAGUGGUAGAACAGCGGUCUCCAAAACCGCUAGUGGGGGUUCGAUUCCUCAAUCGCCCGCCA
RNAcentral lists this transfer RNA (74 nucleotides) under Candidatus Adlerbacteria bacterium RIFOXYD1_FULL_48_8. Its description in RNAcentral is "tRNA-Trp". It matches the Rfam family "tRNA". From Rfam's summary of the family: Transfer RNA (tRNA) molecules are approximately 80 nucleotides in length. Their secondary structure includes four short double-helical elements and three loops (D, anti-codon, and T loops). Further hydrogen bonds mediate the characteristic L-shaped molecular structure. tRNAs have two regions of fundamental functional importance: the anti-codon, which is responsible for specific mRNA codon recognition, and the 3' end, to which the tRNAs corresponding amino acid is attached (by aminoacyl-tRNA synthetases). tRNAs cope with the degeneracy of the genetic code in two manners: having more than one tRNA (with a specific anti-codon) for a particular amino acid; and 'wobble' base-pairing, i.e. permitting non-standard base-pairing at the 3rd anti-codon position. The record is from RNAcentral. Lineage: Bacteria; Candidatus Adleribacteriota.